AGGCAACUCCUUAUGAACAGUUUCGAUCCCGACAGGUGUUGGCUGCCUGUGAUGCCGAGUGGUUAUGGCUUGGCAGUUGGCUCUGGAGAAAGUACACCAGCUCCUUGAAUCUGCACAAAGAGUGACGGAGAGGACGAAAGUUUAUUUUCUUUGUGCUGCAACUCGAGAUCGAGAGAGCGAGAGCGUGUUGAUAUUCUGGAAAGGUAGACAACAAAGAGAGGGCCGAAAGGGUCUCAUCUCAGGUCAGUGUACCAUGCAGCAGCCUAUUUGACAUCGUCACCGGCUGGAGUCGCUCGCUCAAUCUUUUUCAAAUUUUAACUCAAAUUUUAAUCUUUUCAAUUCUGGGUGUGUUUGAAUUUCAAAGUCUGCAACUUUUUCUUUACAAGUAUAAGAGGGUUGGGCAUUUUGUUUGUUUAAAAUAGAUUUGACAAUUCCACAUAUGAAGACUGUGGAGAGGUAUGGUAUGUUUAUCUUCCUAGCUAUGGUUUUUAACUUGGGAGUAGAUUGGUUAUGGUUUUUACUACUGCAGUAGACUUAUUAUGUAUAGAAACUCAACUGUAUUUUGAAGCCGAGACAAGGUUAAUCGAAUUUUUGAUAAUUCUAUCGUAAGGUCUUUGUGGAUAUUUUUUACUGUCUGUUCAGUUUGCAAAUUCUGCUUCAAUACUUUCUUCUACUAAUCAUAUGGUUACGUUUUAUGUUUUAUCUUUCACUGAUGGUGUUUGGGUUAUGACUGCAACAUCUACAUACUAGGCUAGGCAGUGAGUUACUUCUUGAGGUGUUUCUAAUAUAUUAUACCAUACUAAAAUUUGGAUAGGUGGCUGAGCACUCUGCUCGAUUUAUUGUUGAUUUGCUUUUGGUGUUAUUUCUGGUAACUCUGGUUAGUUUGUUUUUAUAUAGGGACACUGAACUCUAGAACAUGCAAAGUUCAAAGCUAGGGUGGAGGUUUUACUGAGAAAUCAAAGGUGGAACUGGCAAGAAAAUAUUUUAAGGGAUGAAUUGUCUUCAGAUUUGGAAGAGAAAAAAAUGAAAAUAUUUUUCCUGAAAGACUAUAUUCAGGGCUUUUCUGAAAAUAGUCUUUCAGCGCAAAUACUCUAUAUAGUCUUUCAACCCAGUAAUACUGUACAUGAGCCCAGAAAUUCCUGCCAAUCGAUGAAGGACUUUGAGAUGGUUUUGGAGAUGCAAUAUGACUUGGAGAUGGAGACAUGCCUGGGUCUUCGUCAAAACAGAACUUCUCAACCAUUGAAGCUUGGAAUUGGCUUUAUCGCUUCUCAGUGAGAAAAACUGGUAAAUUUUGACAGGGCAUCCACCGCUUAGGAGUUUGCUUCUUCACCUUCUGAUGUUCGAUUUGGCUUCUGCGUUUUAUCGAACUAAUGGUGUGUUUUGAAUCACCAUCAAAUUAGUAGCGAAAUUCCCUCCCUUGAUCACCACUCAGGCUCUUUGCAGUAUAUUUGACCUGUAGCUUUCUAUGUCCUCUGUCUUCUGCCCAUCAUAAUCUGAUUCAAGUUUGAUUCCAGUUUCGCAGCAGGAGAUAGUUUCUCUGUACUAGAGGUUCUGUCAGCUCUAUCUUAGUGGCGGAGGUUUCAUCUUCGCCGACGAGUUUUUUGUCCGUACCGGAAUUCGCAGUCAAUCCUCUCUCUCAGUUUUGGCUGGGUGGACGUAGAUACUGGGGGAGAGGGAUUGGAGCAAGACCACACUUGCUCUUAGGAGAUGCUUCUGUAUCAACGACGCCCAAUUUCCUUCUCUCAUCAGAGAGAUUUGAUCAAACAGCAAAGCUACUUAGUUUUGGGGGUGAAUUCAGAAGCUAUGUCCGUUUUGGGGGAGGAGAAGAUAUGCUGCAAAACAGUUAGAAUCAAGACAAAACGAAGGACCCUCGAUCAAUAUCAGUACUUCUGUUCGCCAACAUCAGAAACAUCCAUCAACAUCAAUACCUAUCACGGCCUGCUCUCAAAUUGAAAUUCCAUUGAUAGUCUGAGAGAGGAAGAUUUGACUAAAAUCAAAUAGAAAAGGAACUUACUGAUUCGGCGAAGCACAAGAGAACGGCUUUGAGUAUGAGUUUAUUUGAGGGUCUUUACUUACAGAGGUUGCUCUCUAGUAGAAGGGACUGUGGUGUUCUGAUUUCUGCUUUUGAUGGAUUUGGCGAGAGUGAGGAUCGCAGACUCCACCCCUGUAACUAUAUCUAAGAUGAUCCAACUCUCAUAUACGAAGCUUAUUAUAGGGUGGCUUAACUACUACACGAUGUUGACAAAUUUGAUUCAUCAAAGGGGUUCAAAAUCUCUACUUAUGUUUACUGGUGGAUACUCUUUUCAAUUUAAAUGGUCAACAACUUGGGUGUUUCAAGAGCGCUGGUUGAAAAUUCCAGAACCUUACUACUGCCUACACAUAUGCAUGAGAGGUUAGGGUUACUCAAAAAUGCAAAAGUUAGAUUGGAAGAGAAACGAAUAACUCCAUCUAUCGAUAGGAUUGCAGAAAGCCUGAAUAUGUCCAAAAAGAAAGUUAGGAAGUUACUCAGGUAUCAAGUGCUCGACAAACCAAGAGAGGCCAACACCUUAUGAAAUGAAUAUCUAAAAGCAUCAAAAGAGCGUUCUACCUGCAACCAGUUUUUAUAAAAUCCUUCAAUGUAGACCCUCUUUUGAGUCUCUUUAGCUCGAGACCCAAACACAAGACACAGCUAAAGAAUAGUUUAUCCCUUCCUUGAGUCAAAAAAUGGGACAGUGCCUUGGUUGUAUCUGAGCAGACCACUCUACUAUUGCAAUCAGAAAAACUUUUGGAAAGUUUGAUGAUGUGCUCGAAUCUGGUUGUCAUUGUUUGCCUUGCCAUUGAGGUAGUGCAGUAGCUGCUCAUGUCUGUUUUCAACUGCAGCAAUUAGAUGUUUUACUGAUACACAGAUUUGGAAGCUUAAGAAAUUGUGCUCCAAGGGGCCGAACCAUAAUCUGCAUCAAUGUUCAAUCAAAUUGGUGGAACUUCAAAAUAAGAACAAGGCACAAAAUCUGUAAUUUUCAAGCCAACAUCCAUCAAACAGUUUUCAUUAUUGUCUUUCAUCUAUUGUUUUAUUAAACAAUACUUACCAAGUUUGAUUUGAAGUUAUUGAUUUCGGUGGAGAAAUUUGUGUAGCAUGUUCAACAAAAACAUUCUGCUAUGCAAUGUUAUCCCAGUAA
Long non-coding RNA from Rosa chinensis, 3155 nucleotides. RefSeq lists it as uncharacterized. The record is from RefSeq and is a predicted model, not a curated record. The transcript has 19 exons. Lineage: Eukaryota; Viridiplantae; Streptophyta; Magnoliopsida; Rosales; Rosaceae.